AGCAUUCUCUACUGCCUACACUAACACU
Molecule: non-coding RNA, 28 nt
Filed under: Mus musculus (house mouse)
Lineage: Eukaryota; Metazoa; Chordata; Mammalia; Rodentia; Muridae
Source: RNAcentral